UGUAAGUAAAAGUUUCAUAGUUUAUUUAAUUUUGUCAAAUUUAUUCGGUGUAAGAUGGAUGUAGUAAAUUAACAUUACUACUGGAUCGACGGACUGUUAGUUGUAACAUGAUGCGAUCCAAAGCAGCAGGAUAUGGUGUGCUGUUCCGGUGAUAAAUGUCUCAGUUCCACCUGAGACAUCAUCGUGAAGGUCUGGAAUAAAAUAAAAAUCCAUUCGCUCAAUACCUACAUUGAGCAGCUAGGCAGUGAACUGGUGCAAUCGCGAUUCCAACGUCCUGGCAGCAGCUGUUGCAUUGAAUAGAUUCAUCAGGAGAUGGGAUCUCAACUUUGGUAUUAUACGUUAGCCGAUCCCAAGGACAACUAGUUUGCCGUCAUGAAGUACCUUUCUCACCGCACUAUCAAUGUCGAUGUUGGUCAGCGAGGGACG
This is a long non-coding RNA of Ochlerotatus camptorhynchus, 426 nucleotides long. RefSeq lists it as uncharacterized. NCBI's taxonomy places the organism in Eukaryota, Metazoa, Arthropoda, Insecta, Diptera, Culicidae. The transcript is spliced from 3 exons. The record is from RefSeq and is a predicted model, not a curated record.